This 345-nucleotide ribosomal RNA is filed under the name Triticum aestivum (bread wheat). Its description in RNAcentral is "partial small subunit ribosomal RNA". The record is from RNAcentral. Lineage: Eukaryota; Viridiplantae; Streptophyta; Magnoliopsida; Poales; Poaceae.
AUGAAGUGGUCGGAGGCGCUGGAUCCGCGGCCAAUCAGUCUGCAACGGCGGCAAGACGACGGAGAUCGGGAUUAUAGCACGGAAGAAAGGUCAAGAGAAAUGGAUAUAUUAAGACUCUUUCCUUACUGGCUUGAUACUAAUCAAUGGAAUGCAAUACUGAACGAUGUUAACAUUCCCUCUUUGUUUAUUCUGACUGGUCCAAAUGGUGGAGGUAAAUCCAGCAUGUUGUGUUCAGUCUACACGGCUGCAUUGCUUGGAAUAUGUGGGCUGAUGGUGCCAGCUGCUUCAGCUGUCAUCUCACACUUAAAUUCCAUCAUGUUGCAUAUGAAGGCCUAUGCUACUUGA